Molecule: long non-coding RNA, 12869 nt
Filed under: Oryza sativa (Asian cultivated rice)
Lineage: Eukaryota; Viridiplantae; Streptophyta; Magnoliopsida; Poales; Poaceae
Description: long non-coding RNA (OSAT_LNC000291)
Source: RNAcentral
AAGGCAAGACAGUAGUUAGAAAACAUCAACAACUAAUGUAUAGCAAGCACAAAAUUUGCUCCUAUGUUCAAACUGUCUAAGAAAACUGGUCAGACCAACAGAUUAACUCGAAUACCAAAAUUAAAUUAUCCCGGCAGAUUAAACUAAAGGAUAUAGCCCAGAAUAAACACUUGUAUCCAGAAGCAGGUAGGUUUUCUUUCUUUCUUUCUUUUCUUUUUGAGGACACCAGCAGCAAGUUUUCACUAUGAUCAUUGGUGCCCUGGGAGGAGAAACUAGGACGAAAAAAAGGUUUUAGGACUGUACACUUGCUCAACUACAGCUUUUAUGCUAAUGAUUCUUCAUUGUUCGUACCCCACUGUUCCUCGGUAUCAUUUCCGUUCACAAGGACAGUACCGUCAGUCGAACCAUCAGCUUCAACAUCAACCUCAACAGCAUCUUCUUGGCUCUCUUCUACUCCAUUUUCCUCGAUAGCCUGGUGGACCAGAUUGAUAUUACUAUAUUACAACUUAAAGCAAGGAGAAAAGAAAAUAUAAUGAAUAGCAAAAAAUGUGAUUUUAUUGAAAUAAUGAUCACUUUAAAAGAUUGGUGAUAAAUAUAGGACAUCGCAUGCCAAAAAAAAAAGAGAUCAGUUUAGUAGAAGUAAUUUAACAUCUUCAAAUAGCUACCCACUAUUUAACAAUAUUUUUUUACAACUCUUUCUGUAAGAGUGAUACCUCGUGAGUGUCAUCUCCAUUUUCAUCUGGCAGCACCUCCUCUUGAUGUAUACGCAUAUUUUUGAAAGCUUCCACCAGAGUCUCGUUAGGCCUCUCAGCAUGGAUAAUGUACUCCUUAGCUGGUGCAUAAAUACCCCUAUACAAAUAGGAUUUCAUAUUACAAUAAAGAAAAAGUACAAAUGAGCACUGACAUUACUUCUAUUUAUUUCACUAUAUGUGCUCAACUGAAGCUAAAUGUGAUAUUCCAAACCAGCAUCCCAUACAUGGUAGAGGGCAUCAUUCUUACUUCAUCAGAUGCUUUCAAUUAAAGAGAAGAGGAAAGCAAACCAUGACGGCUUGUCCCAUGUGUGGAAGAGAGAACAGGUAAAACUUUCACAAAAGAACAUAGUUUUUACUUUUACAAACAGACCUUUUGGGCGCAACAUUAGCUUCUACAUUGAGAGCAAUUUGCCAGUCUUCAAACAAGUUUGGGUACUCGUUGGGAUCUGCCAAUGAUUCUGCCGCUUUGGGGUUUACCUAUAAAGAAAAUGGCACGAGAAUGAAAAAAAAGGCAUGGUAAGAUAAUAAAACACAUAUCUCCUACAAAUUAAACAGUGUCGCGUAGCGCAAGUCUGAAAAUAAGAACAAUACUCUAGCACAAGAUUGAUUGUCUUUUGGUUAGUUUUGCAUGCUAGCUCAGAUAAUAGACAAAAUGCCCUUGAAUGCCCAUGAUUUAUCAGGUACACAAAAUAUAGAUUGGGCAUUCUGCCUGUUAGGAUGGAAACAUCACUAAAAAUCAUCAGUAUUAACACCAGAAACUGGGUACCUUUUGGAGGGGGAAAAAAGAGACAGAUGGUACCUUUUGGAGAUCCUUUUUCCAUAAUGUUACAAUCUCAGGGACUUUGCUCGGAAGAUAAGAUCUCGACAUCAAUGCUGCUUCUGGUAUACGAUUACUGUAUAGAGAAUAUAACGUGAUCACCAUAAAAUAAAAAAUACAUUUUCUGAAUAAGCAUUGUACUAUUAAAUAGGAUAGUCUUGGCAAAUGGCAAUACCUUUCGAUUAACAAUUGAAGACAUUCUUCCAGUUUUCCAAGCAUGAAGAAACAAAGGAAAGCAACAUUGUUCUUCCCUUGUUCUUUAGCCAUAGAUGUUAAUUUUGUUAGCCCUUCAGCAUCACCAAGGGAUGAAUACAGAAGUAAUAAACCACUGAGAUCCAUAGCAUGUAGAAGACACUCCUCUGCCAUAUCAAGCUGCAGAAUUGACACUUGACAUGUUAGAAUAUGAGUGCACUCUUUUAGCCAGUUUUGUAUCUGGCAAGGUGCUGAAACAUAACAUGGCAAAGUUAUUAAAUUGCAAGAAUUCUACUUAAAACUAAGAUGGUAAGUUAUUUUUUUACACACAGAACUCUGCCAUCAGGCAAAACUAUUGUUUUGCACGCAUAAUUCUACUUUUAAAAACAACUACUCCUUCCGUUUCAUAUAAUAAGUCGUUUUGACUUUCUUUAAAAAAAUCAAACUUCUUGAAUGUUUAACCAAGUUUAUAGAAAAAAUAUAGCAACACUUAUAGCACCAAGUUGGUUUCAUUACAUCUAACAUUGAAUAUAUUUGAAUAGUUUUUUUCUUUUGUGUUAAAAAUAUUGCUAUAUUUUUCUAUAGAUUUCGUCAAAGCUAAAGAAGUCUGACUUAGAAAAAAGUCAAAACGACUUAUAAAAUGAAAUGGAGGUAGUACAAAAGAUGGACAGAGCAAAAGCAAAGGCACAAGAACUUCUUAGGUUCUAAUUCAAGCAUCAUAGCAACAAUCAAAGCUACUUCCCAUCAAAACUGCAAUAUUAUCUCUUCACAAAUGCCUUUGUUAAAUUAUAUACUUCUUCUGUCCAACAAUAUAAACAUUUCUAGACUGUUGAGCAAAGAUUAAAGUUGAGGAGAAAGUACUUUAGUGCCCUCAUUUAAUGAGAAGGUUGGGGUUGAAGAGUAGUUGGGCGUAAGAUGGGAAGAAAUUUAAAUGAGGUGAUUGAUUUUACAUAUGCAUUGUAGAAAUGCUUAUAUUCAUGAACAAAAUUCAAAUGCUUGCUUAUAUUGUUGGGAGGAGGGAUUUAUUUCUGUGCGCUCAUAAUUAUUAAGUUACACGGUAUACUGGUACUAAUAAUCAAGAAACUAAAAUGCCAUGGCAGAACAGUCCCACUUAAUUAGCACAAUAUAUAUAUUGACCACUCAUAGAAGAUACUUCCUCCGUUUCAUAUUAUAAGACUUUCUAGCAUUGCUCAAAUUAAUAUAUAUGUUAAUAAAUCUAUAUAUAUAUAUGUGUGUGUGUGUGUGUGUGUCUAGAUUCAUUAACAUCUAUAUGAAUGUGGGCAAUGCUAGAAAGUCUUAUAAUAUGAAACAGAGGGAGUAGUAACUAAUACAUCCAACAGCUGUACCUUUCCGGUUGACAUAGCUAACUCUCCUAACUGCCUCCACUUGGACUCACUUUGUGCCUCAAUGGCAAUUGCCUGAAAAGCAAAUAGUUAACAACAUUUGAACAAAGACAAAAACAUUCUUGGAAAUGUGAUAAAUAAAUUAAUCAUCUGUGCCUUUGCAACUUCAAGCCGACCAAGCUGCACGGCCAAGUCAAAUCUGUAAUUAGAGUCUGUUGCUAUCUCAAGGGCUUCUUCCAACAUGCCCCGUGAUUCCAAGAAACGUGCCACACUGCAAAUAAAAGGGUUAUCUUCAGAUUCUGAGGCCUGAGUUGCAGAGUACAAUAAUUAGCAGAACAGGGGGCACCUGUCAUGUUGUUCUUUUGGUAUAGAUGGUAAAAGAGCGUUUGCACGAUCGAAGUCUCCACGCAUUACAAGUGUUUUAUACUCAAUCAUAGUAAGGAGUAAAGUAUACCCCACAACACUGCAGUAAGAAAACAAGUUAACCUCAGAAGUUCAUUGUGGCUUCCGAAUAUGAUACGAUACCAGACAACCAAGACUCACUUAAAUUGCUUGUCAAUAAGGUAGACACGGCUUUGGUUAGCAAGAUAUCCCAGUAAAUACAUUUGCCGAUCCAAGUGAAAUAAGGUUGUGACCUGUAAUACAUCGAAUAGUUAUACUACCUCUGAAAAUUAACAGUCUAACCAAAUCAUAUGUGAAUGCAUUUUUGAUAUAAUGAAAAUACUUACCUCUCCUCCUACACAGUAAUUAAGUCGUGACGAAGAAUUGUUGUAGAUAAAACAAUCGCCAACCCAUAGGCCAGUUCGGAUGCGUUCAUUGAUCUCAUGAAGUAGUUCAAAGGCAUCUUCCACACCUUCCUCGCCAACUGAACCCCCUCCAUCCAAAUGAGAAGAAACUACAUCCCUCUGGAAGGUAUAAUUGUUGUGUUAUAGUUACAUCAAGUAGAUGUUACAUCAUUGAACUACAGAGCCAACAAAAUGCAGAAAAACUUACAUUGUACUUCAAAAUGUAGAAUGAGGUGUCACUUGCAAUUGUCACUAAAUCACCACUAUCGGCCCAAUAGAGAUUCUACAAAUAAGAAAGCAGAUCCUAUUUAGCAUCAUAAUAUUCCAAAUGACACGCAAAAAAAAAUUUAAAUCCAGGAACAAAAUUACUCACUUUCACAUUGACAUCAAUUCUGCGUAUCAUCCUGCCCUCUGCCCAGUCAUGGAAGCAAAUAAAAUCAUUUGUACACAUAGCCAGCAAUACUCCACCAAAUAUACGCUCUGCAGAAAAUGGUGGUCUUAUACUCUUUCUCUCCUGAAAUAGAUAGGUUUUAUCAUCAUACUAUGUUUCAGAAACCACAGUAAAGGAGAUUGUUGUGAUAAGCUUGGCAGCUGCCUAAUAAAUAUAAGUAACAAGUUGACCCUGACACAGUAGAAGAAUAAAUGAUUCAUAAUGCCCCUUACUCAAGUCACAUUUUAGUAUUGAUCAGUCUACCCCAACUACUAUAGGCAAUAUUGCUCACUCCCAUAUCCCUAUCCAGAAGGAGUUGGUCAUUUACUGAUUUUUUAUAUUCUAAAGAAAAACAAGAAUAAAACUAACUUUAUAUUAUGAAACCUUCAGUGAUAUUAAUAAAUUGUAGAUGAUUUUUAAUGGAUUUUCUAAUUGUGAUUAGCCAAAUGUGAAAAACGAUUUGAAACAAUGGAUAUGUUAUUUGAAGAUCGACGGUGGUGAUUUAUAAAUGUUUCAUGAGAUAUUCAUUUUUUUAUUAUAUAAUUUGUGGUAUUCUAUUCAUGCUAUAUUUUUUUUGAACUACUUGCAAUUUUUUUUUGGCAAUUUUAUUUAUAUUGGAAUGUGCACAGUACUCCAGCUUGUCCAUGAAAUGUGCACACCUACUAAAUUUUUCUAGCCCCACACAUUGCAUUGAAGGACCCCUACUCUGAUGUACAACGAUAAUUAAAAGAAGGGGCAGUGGGCAGUACAAACCUGGAAAUUUUUACUGUAUAUCUUUAUCCUCGAGGUGCUUUCUCUGACAGCGUAUUCUCCAUCAAGUGACCAAACAAAUUCAAGUGCAGACCCGAAUGAUCUAUUUCUCCAUGCCAAUGCGGUGUAGAUUAUGUAUUCUCCAUCUCCACAUACAACAACAAAUCUUCCAUUUGGAUUGUGCCUUAAACUCUGAAAUGAAUACACUAUUAUUAAUAACAUGCAAACAUAAACCAGAACGUAGAAAAGUUCAUCACAUUUAUUUAACCCGACAAGUACAAUUUCAAAACCGGCACUCCAACUCCAUAAUUACACUAUACUAGAUUUGAUAUUAAUUUAAUUUUACUAUAACAACAGAAUCUCCAUGGUGUGUUUAAAUAAAACAACUCACCAGUGCAAAUGUCAAAUAAACUAACAUAUUAAAAUAUUUCAACAUGCAUGGUCAAAUGGUGUAUACAUGUGACUCGUGUAAUGAAUAGGAAAAAGAAACUUGGGACUCAUUUGCAAGCAUCAAGUUGGUUCUAUUGGAAAACAUCAAUAUGCGAAUGAUGCAUUCGUUUAAAUAGCAAAUAUGAACUUACUUGUGGAUAAAGAUCACAGGUUCCCAACUCCUUCACAACCAAGGGUAAGCGCUCACCAUCUGCAAUCUGAAAAAUGGAACAGGUUAGUAAACAAGACGUAUAAGAAAGUAUACAAGUUUUCAACAUAUUAGCAUGGUGAACAAGAAAACCUCAUUGUCUGCACCAAUAGUCUUGAUAUUAACAGUUUGGAUUUCAUUAUGUUUUGACCAUAUGAUUUUUCCACUGCUGUCCAUGCUAGCAACAGGAACUUCACGGCCAAUUUUUAUCAUUAUUGUCCCUUCAUCAUAUCCGAUCACAACCCUGCACAAGUCAAGUUUUUUCCCGUAUCACUAAAUUAACUUGAAAAGGAAGAAGUUAAUGAAAACAUGAAAAGAAAAGGGUUUCUGUGAAGAGCAAAUUGUGGAAUAAACUGUUUAGCAGACAACGAAAAAGUUUAUAGCUACAUUGGAGAGAACUAUGGAGCAGAGAACAUAUACGCUAAACUAAUCAAAUCUUUAUACUGUGAUUCAUUUUGGGUGUGGGAAACUUCAAUAGCACAUGAAUAGGUGAUAUUUAGUAUCAUGGUACUUGACAUUAACCGUAAGUCCAUAGCAUCCGAAUAGUAAGAGUGUAAUAUUUCCAAUACCUUCUUGAACCCUUCAUGUAUCCUAAAGCCCACACUCGCUCAAGGCCAUAGUUAAGAGUGUUCUCAAGCCUGUAAGAAACAAGCAACGUGUUAUUCCAGUCUACAGUAAGAUUAAAAGGAUCCAAAACAAUGAUUGACAAAAAUGGAACAACCAAAGCAGUCUUCAAAAAAAAGAGAAGAACAAACCAAUGCACAGAGAUAAGAACAUCUUGCCAGGUGCCAACUAAGCAUAUGCAUAUAUAGUAACCUAUAAUACUUAUUGAAGACAGUGUAAUUCAUGUAACUAACAAGCAUAGUAGCUACGCGUAAGUGAAUGUUUGUGGCAUGGGCGUGAUGUGCAUCCUGGUCGCACCCCCCAAAAUUGUUUAUCUAUAUCCUGGUGUAGAAUGCUAGUUUCAAAAUAUGGCAAGAGAAUCUCCUUAUUUUCAACACCACAGGAAAAUGGUAGCUUCAAAUUCUCUGGACACAGUGCUUCACUUCAGAGGUCACCAAUUGUUAGGAAGUGGUAUAGUUGCAUAUUUCUCUUAGUUUGACCCUAACCAUCACUACCAGCUCUGAUGCCAAUCAGGACAGGUUUAAUAGAAAAUAUUCCUCUUAGCUAGUCGUACUUCAAGCUAUAAAUUGCUCUAUAUUGUUACUAAAAUAGGACUGAGUUGUAAUACAAACUUAUGCUAUAGGAGUAAAUGUAACACUUUCACUCAAAAAUUUAUAUUUAGAUUAAAGAAUGUAAUGCUGCAUCAAUCAAAAUUACAUGGCUAAAUAAUAAAUUACUAAAUGCACAAACUAAUUCGUAAAGAAACAAGGACAUGAAGACCAGAAACUAUGCUUGUAAGGUCAUCAAUAGAUAUGACACACCAAUGAUUAUUUAAGAACCAGAUUUUAUGCCACCGAACAGAGUUUUUAUUGCCAUCAAUAGAACAACACACCCACGAGAGUAACGAGUACAUGAAUUUAUCUCAAAAUUCAAACUAUGCAUGAAGUAUCCUAUGAGUUGUAUCAUAGGGGGAGAGAGCGAGAGAACCUGUAGGUAGUAGAGUGCCACAAGCGAACUGUCCCAUCCUCAGAGCCAGUAAGUAUUAUAGGUAACUCCGGAUGGAAACAAACAGCAGAGACAUUAUGUGCAUGUCCUUCAAGCGUUUGAACACAGCUCUUCGUUUGAUAGUCCCAAACCUGAUUCAACGAAGUGUCUCGUAACAAUGUCCAAUAUACUCACAAGAUAAUUCACUGCAGAUGGCAUACCUUCGCGGUCUGAUCAUCAGAGCCUGUAAUUAAGUAUGGGCGAUCACCACCAGUAAAGUAAUCAACACAAUUGACACCUUUUGAAUGGCCAUCUAAUGUGAAAUUAGGAUCAGGGGAACCAAGACUCCAUACCUGAAAUUAAAUAAGGGCACCACAUUCAAAUCCAGACCAAGAAAUGUUAGAAAUGCAAAAACUAUGCCAAGCAAAUGUAAGGAACAAAAUCGCAAACCUUUACUGUGCGAUCAAGUGAAGCACUAGCAAAAGUAUUGGUAUCUUUCGGGUUAAAUGUGACUUGCAUAACAUAGUGAGAAUGCCCCUCGAAGAUUUGAGUGCACAUCCAACCCUUAUCCCAAUCCCAAAGCUUGAUCAGCAUGUCAUCAGAUGAUGACAGCACAAAAGGCUGGGUUGGGUGAACAGCCACACACCUGAUGUAAUCCGUAUGAGCUUCAAAAACCUUGACCUUAUCCAUCGUAUUGUAAUUGUACACACGUAUGAACAUAUCGUCGGCACCAGCAACUACCCAUUGUUUCCGUGUGAUAAAUUUAGAUGACCGAACUGAAAUGGGGAUGAUUAUAUUAGCAAGAUGGUAUAUCAAACAGAAGUAAGCGAUGAGGUGGGAAAGCAUACCUGGUAACUCUGUGACUUCAAAUGAUUUCACCAUCGUCUGAGGAUAGAUGAAUAUAUUAUAAUCAGUUUAACUUUAAGAGUAACUAUGCUGAAAAUAUGUAUGUUUCUUUUUCCGUCCAUCGAUUUCUAGAUUUUACUUUUAUGUUUUACCUCCUCCUGUUUUGCUCUAAAUAGUUUGCAAACCUAUUAAGAAGUCCCAAUUAUGUAGCUAACACUCACACAUCUGAAACAACCAUCUAGAAGUUCAUUGACUCCUUGUUACUUCUAUUUUGACCAUAUUCCUUUCUACAAUGCAUCGAAGACUUCCUCGCUAGGUUUUAAGAAUUCAUCAUUCAUCGCUAUGUUUGACCCCCCCCCCCCUCUUUUUCUUUGUUUUCUUUCCGGGCUCUGGUACAACUUACUAUGAGCGCAUAUCGUCAAAGUUUACUACUACAAGCACACUAAAUCCAAUGUAUCUUGAAUUUUACAUAUGGAUGGGAAUAUCCAUUUUGCAGUACAAAAGCUCAGCGUGCUGGUAGUAGAUAAUCAUCAUUUCAUAAAAUCCAUGAAACCAGCAGAAAAUGACGAAUUAAGCUACUGUGAACAGUCAUGUACCUGCGUCUGGUAGUUCCAGAUGCAAACGCUCCCUGAAUACAGACUCGACAAAAUCCUGCAUUACACCGGAGGAAGUUAUUCAUGUGACUUUGAACAACAUAAUCAUUACAUCACUAGCACCCCAAAACCCAAAAAUCAUGUCACACACACAAACUUGCCCACUCACCAUGGCUCGGUCGGAUGCAGAUCCACGGACUUGGCCCUCUCCGACCUCUGCGCGAGCUUCCUCUGAUCCAACCACCAAACACAUUCAGCUAAACACACCAAAACAAACCAAACUAAGCUAAGCAGAUCCGAGGGAGAGGCGCAGUGGUUACCUUGAUAUCCAACCUGAGCGGCUGCCAACAUCACAGCCAUCGCCAUUUCGCCGCCAGAGAAAAAAAAAAUCACACGAAAGCACGAACGAGAAGGCAAUCACGUCAGUACGCAACAAACAAAAAAAAACCCCAGAUCCACGCGGAAUUCGACGCUCCAGCCACCGGAUCUCGGCACGGCACGGCACGGCACCGCGCGGCGCGGCGCGGCCGUCAAACGGUUCGCCCUCGCCGUACCGAUCCCCACUCGCGGCGAAACCUAAGCAGCGCGAGCCUGGGGGAAGGCGAGAGCGAGAGAGAGAGGGGAGUCACGUACCAUUGUGACGCCCGCGACGGCCGGCUACGGCGGGGACGCGGCUGUUACACAACCUCCGCCGCCGUUCACCGCCGGAAUCAGGCUAGAUCUGAUCGGAGUUGAGGAAGAGAGUAGUAUCUUCGAAAUCGCUCAAGAUCGAGAAGCAGAGGAACUGAGGAAGAAGAAGUUAGAACAGAGUUGUCGGGGGAGGAGAGAUGUAUUUCUCAUUUCUGUUUGCUUAUAUACUAGUUGUUGGCGCACAGGCCUAAAUCCUCCUGGGCUCGCAGGCCCACUCACACAUGAAAGUCUAUAUCUCAUACACUCGUAACAGUAACAGUACCACCCGCCAAAGUAUCAGCUUGUCCCCAAGCUGGCGCACAAGGGAAGGGAUUCUUCAGUACUAUCUCCACCCCAAAAUAUAACAACUUUUGGCUAUUAAUCUUGACAAAUAGGGAGUACGUCAUAGUCUUCCCAAGUUGCAUGAUCGGCUGGCAGCGAGGUCCACUUGAUCAACACUUGCACAUGAGCAGCAUUCGAGCAGCAUUCCCCUUCUUAACAAGCCGACGAUUAAGGAUCUCUGCAGGUACAACUUCAACUGCAUCCAGAACCACAAGAGUAGGCAGACUACCGAAAACAGGUGUGUGAGCCGGCACAUGGGGCUUCAACUGAGACACAUGGAAAACCGGAUGCACCAAACUGUGAUCAGGCAAACCAAGACGAUAAGCAGCAGUGCCAACCUUCUCUAGAAUCUUGGAAGGCCCAAAGAACUUGAACGCCAAUUUGGGAUAUGGACGAUUGACCAUCGAUGACUGAACAUACGGCUAGAGUUUCAGAAAGACAGAUUCCCCAACUGAAAAAGCACGUUCAGAACGACCCUUGUCAGCUUUGUGUUUCAUACGUAACUGAGCUCUUUGCAAUUGCUCCUGAAGAAAAGCUGAGAGCUGAUCACAUUCAAAUACUAAAUCCAUCCACAGCAUGAUGAGUUGAAGACAAAGAACAGGAAUCUGAUUGGAGUGGGGAUUAGUACCAAAGAAUGCUUUAUAUGGUGAACAGCCCAUGGAGGUGUGAGAAGAAGUGUUAUAUCAAUAUUCGGCAAGAUGGAGCCAAUGAUGCCACUUGUGAGGAGAAGCCUGAGUCAUACACAACGAAGAUAUAUCUCCAAACAUUGAUUCACACGCUCGGUUUGCCCAUCGGUUUGUGGAUGAUACGCAGUACUCAUUUGCAACUGUGUGUUCCAAACUUUGAACAAAUCUCCCCAGAAUUUGCUUGUAAAUAUCAUAUCCCGAUCAGAGACAAUCAAGUGAGGAAUACCAUAUGUUUUAAACACAGAACGAUCCAUAGUUGUAGCCACUUGAGAGGCUGUAAAAGGAUACCUCAAAGGAAUGAAAUAAGCAUAUUUAGUGAACCGAUUCACAACUACCAGAAUUACUGAAUAGCCAUCAGAUUUAGGCAAACCCUCCACAAAGUCCAUUGAGAUAUCCAUCCAAGCCUCUUUGGGAACAUGAAGAGGUACCAGCAAGCCUGGCAACUUGCAAUGUUCACUCUUGGCAUGCUGACAUACUUGACACUGCUUAAUAAAGUUAACAUCAGUUUUAAGCCCAGUCCAAGCAAACAACUUCUCUAGACGAUGAUAAGCUGUCGUGUCGCGCCCUGAUUUUCGUUCGGGAUUAAAAAUCAUUAAAUAAAUCAUUUCUAGAAAUUAUAUUAAAAGUUAAAGCAAUUUAAUCAAGUGAAUUAUUGAGGGAAUUAAAAAUUUUCUUUAAAAAUCAUGGCCGAAAAUAUUUUUGUAAAAUUCUCUAUGUUCUAAUUUACUCUCUGAAAUUUCCCGUGAAUUUUCAGAGCUCAAAAAGUAAUUAUAAUAGUACAAACAUCAAUUAAUCAAUUAAAUUAAAUAGAAAACCAUUUAAAAUCUCUUCCUGCACUUUGGGCCGCUUCCGGCCCAAAGGCUUCAUCUCCUCCCUUGGCCCGCCCGCCCCUCCUUCCUCUUUUCCCUAUCGGGCCGCCCUCCUCUCCUCCUUCCUCUUUGGGCUGUCCAUUUCACGUUCCUCUCUCGGUCUCCUCUCUCCCUCCCUCGCCGACAGGUGGGACCGGUGACGCCACCUGUCAGCUCCUCCUCCUACCUCCGGUCUCCUCGGGCCGAAACCGCCAUGGUCACUGCACCCGCCCCACGCUGCCGCUUCUUCCGCGCCUCCUCGCGCCCUCUCUCAUGCGGGCCCGGUCGUCGCACACUACUACACCUCUUCUCCACAUUUCCCCAAAUUCUGGCGCCUAAUCGAGCUCCACUUCGCCCAUGUCGUCGCCGCCCAAAUCCGCCUCGCCCCAGCUCCCUUUCACCCUCCCGAGCCUAUAAAAACGCUCCCCGCACCUCCCUCUCAUUUUUCCCUAGUUCCCUGAGCUUGUCGCAUCUCCUAUGUACACACUGGUCUGCAGGCUGCAGCAGCGGCGGUAGCAGCAAAGGCAGGGAUCCAACUUAACAGAUGAAGUUGCAUGGGCUUGUUCCUCCUAUUCUUUCCUCCUAGCCACUGUCGCUGUUCUUCAUGAAUCAUGAUCUCUAUUUUUGUUUUAUACUGUUUCUUGUAAUUAAUUCCUACUCGCGGUCUCUCUCUUCCUAGUCCCCCAUUUUUCUGGUAUACUAUUUUUUUUGUUUAGGGGUGCUCUUUAGUGAAUUACCUGUAUCAUGGCUUCAUGGGAGCUGGUUCGUGUAACAUGAAACAGAAAAAAAAAAAGGUAAUGUUCGGCUGGUUUAACAUUUUACCCUAUGUACUUUGUGUAAAAUAUGGAUCCGGUUUAGCUAAUCAAAUUCAACCUCAACAAGAAGGGAACAUCCCUCGUAUAUAUAAAGCAUCCUGAGAACCCACAGUAAGGACCUAUGUGUGUAAAAAGGUACAAAAUUUUCUAUCUCAAACAAGGACAAAGCGAUGACUAAUUUCUGUGGGUUUUAUCGUCGGAUAUGCCGAUCUUAAAGCACGCCCAAUGAUUAUACAAGUGGAGGAAAACGGCCUUCACAUAGUUUCAGUAGGAGUCAGCAACCUGUCAAAAAAUAAUUAGCUAUAAUAAAUGAAUAGUUGUUAACAACUGUCGCUAAUUGUAUAGAUGGAAAAACACUUCACCUUUACAAGCUGAAUCAGUGUAUCAGGUUGCUGUCCCGCUGAUUCACUAUUGGUCAGGAGUCAAUACUGCAAAAGGCAAGAUAGUCGUUAGAAAACAUCAACAACUCAUGUAUAGCAAGCACAAAUUUUGCUCUCAUGUUCAAACUGUCUAAGAAAACUGGUCAGACCAACAGAUUAACUCGAAUACCAAAAUGAAAUUAUAACUGAAAUUAUCCCAACAGAUUAAACUAAAGGAUAUAGUCCAGAAUAAACACUUGUAUCCAGAAGCAGGUUUUCUUUCUUUCUUUCUUUCUUUCUUUUUGAGGACACCAGCAUCAAGUUUUCAUUGUGAUCAUUGGUGCACUGGGAGGAUAAACGAGGACCAAAAAAAGGGUUUUAGGACUGUACACUUGCUCAACUACAGCUUUUAUGCUGA